This 505-nucleotide ribosomal RNA is filed under the name uncultured bacterium. Its description in RNAcentral is "partial 16S ribosomal RNA". It matches the Rfam family "Bacterial small subunit ribosomal RNA", at positions 28 to 523 of the family's 1533-position model. The record is from RNAcentral.
GAUGAACGCUAGCUACAGGCUUAACACAUGCAAGUCGAGGGGCAUCAGGAAGAAAGCUUGCUUUCUUUGCUGGCGACCGGCGCACGGGUGAGUAACACGUAUCCAACCUGCCCUUUACUCGGGGAUAGCCUUUCGAAAGAAAGAUUAAUACCCGAUGGGAUAAUGAUUCCGCAUGGUUUGAUUAUUAAAGGAUUCCGGUAAAGGAUGGGGAUGCGUUCCAUUAGGUUGUUGGUGAGGUAACGGCUCACCAAGCCUUCGAUGGAUAGGGGUUCUGAGAGGAAGGUCCACCACAUUGGAACUGAGACCAGGUCCAAACUCCUACGGGAGGCAGCAGUGAGGAAUAUUGGUCAAUGGGCGCGAGCCUGAACCAGCCAAGUAGCGUGAAGGAUGACUGCCCUAUGGGUUGUAAACUUCUUUUAUAUUAGAAUAAAGUGCAGUAUGUAUACUGUUUUGUAUGUAUAAUAUGAAUAAGGAUCGGCUAACUCCGUGCCAGCCGCCGCCGUAA